CCUACGGGUGGCAGCAGUGGGGAAUAUUGGACAAUGGGGUGAACCCUGAUCCAGCGACGCCGCGUGAGUGAAGAAGUAUUUAGGUAUGUAAAGCUCUAUCAGCAGGGAAGAAAGAAAUGACGGUACCUGACUAAGACGCCCCGCCUAACACCGUGCCAGCACCCGCAGUAAUCCGUAGGGGGAAAGCGUUACCCGGAUUUCCUGGGUGUAAAGGGGGCGUCGACGGCGAUGGAAGGCUGAAGUGAAAGGCGGGGGCCCAACCCCUGGACUGCGUUGGAAACUGUAUGGCUUGAGUGCAGGAGAGGUAAGUGGAAUUCCUAGUGUAGCGGUGAAAUGCGUAGAUAUUAGGAGGAACACCAGUGGCGAAGGCGGCUUACUGGACUGUAACUGACGUUGAGGCUCGAAAGCGUGGGGAGCAAACAGGAUUAGAUACCCCUGUAGUC
Molecule: ribosomal RNA, 443 nt
Filed under: uncultured bacterium
Lineage: Bacteria
Description: partial 16S ribosomal RNA
Rfam family: Bacterial small subunit ribosomal RNA
Source: RNAcentral